This 253-nucleotide ribosomal RNA is filed under the name uncultured bacterium. RNAcentral's name for it is "partial 16S ribosomal RNA". It matches the Rfam family "Bacterial small subunit ribosomal RNA", at positions 524 to 776 of the family's 1533-position model. The record is from RNAcentral.
UACGGGGGGGGCAAGCGUUGUUCGGAAUUACUGGGCGUAAAGGGCGCGUAGGCGGCCUUCUAAGUCGAACGUGAAAUCCCUGGGCUCAACCCAGGAACUGCGUCCGAUACUGGGAGGCUUGAAUCCGGGAGAGGGAUGCGGAAUUCCAGGUGUAGCGGUGAAAUGCGUAGAUAUCUGGAGGAACACCGGUGGCGAAGGCGGCAUCCUGGACCGGUAUUGACGCUGGGGCGCGAAAGCCAGGGGAGCAAACGGG